Molecule: long non-coding RNA, 694 nt
Organism: Ahaetulla prasina
Lineage: Eukaryota; Metazoa; Chordata; Lepidosauria; Squamata; Colubridae
Exons: 3
Source: RefSeq, a predicted model, not a curated record
ACCUCCUGGCCACACAAUUGUAAUCCUUCAAGAAGAGGGUUUUUUUUUGUUUUGUUUUUUAAAACCUCCAGUGCCUGAUUCUUCAUCAUGCAACUUCUGCUGGGGCUCUUCUUCUUCUCCAUACUCCUGACCACAGGUAGCUCCUUGACAUGUGAACAUUGUGCCUCAUCUAGUUCAGACGCAUGCUCUGGCGAAAAGAAAGAUUGCCCUUAUGAGAACGCGACCUGCAUGACUUUGACCACUGAAAUGACAAUACUGGUGAAAAUCGUAACCGUCAUGAAAAGUUGCAGUCAGAAAGAUGUGUGCAACCGACUGAAAGAACAGAAAGGGGACAUUUUAAACAGCUCGUUACCAACUUUGUCAGAUAUUAUUCCUAGUUUUCAAAUUGGGGCUGUUAUUAAAGAAGUUACCUGCAGCAGAGCCCCUCCCUCCUUUGUACCCUUCUUCCCAGCAUUCCUUCGGCUUCUCCUGAUGAAGCUUCUCGUCUAAAGCUUUUCCUUCCACCCAAGAAAUUGUCCCCUUUUUCUUGGCCUGUAUAAUCUCUCCAGCUGAUCAGGCGGCCUCUUGGAUGUUAUGCAUCGGCCUCUAUAUGUCCCUAAAUAGUUAAGAAGACAGAAAUUUAAUCAGCAGCCUUGUAUGUUCGAGGAAAACGGCAGCCUAAAGUGAAAAUGAAUAAAUAAAUAAUUGAAUUCCA